RNAcentral lists this long non-coding RNA (5437 nucleotides) under Salmo salar (Atlantic salmon). Its description in RNAcentral is "lncRNA (ENSSSAG00000094173.1)". Lineage: Eukaryota; Metazoa; Chordata; Actinopteri; Salmoniformes; Salmonidae. The record is from RNAcentral.
AAUGAAACAAUGAACUUGACAGAACUGAGCUGCGAAGUAAGCAGUGUCCAGUUUUCUUUCUUGGGGGCGCUUAUGAUUAUGGUCGAGCCCACAGUAUCGGACACUUACUCUGCAUUUCUCCAUUACACAAUGCAGGAGUUCGUUGGUGCCCUUUGGCUCUUACAGAAUCCAGACAAAAUCAGAGAGUUUCUACAGAAGUGCCAGACUGAAGAAUGGAAACACACAAAACACAUGGUUCCUUUCAUGUGUGGGCUUCUGAAUGAGAGGAAUAUUCGAUUGGUAAAUGGUCUUGUUCCAGCUCAACAGAUCAAGGAGACGUCAGAUUGGUUCUUCAAGGAAGUGGUGAACACAUUUCUUCCACUUCAAACAAACCAAGAUCAUGCAGAAGGUGGUGCUCCUGAGUUUGAGGUAGAUCUUCUGUUUUUAUGUCAGUGCUUGUAUGAAUCUCAGUCUACUGAGGCCUGUUUGCUUCUUCUGGACAAACUGGACUACAAUCUACACCUGGAUGAAGAACAUCUUGAUCCUCACCAGUGCUGUGCAGUCUCCUAUAUGAUCAGUCAGUCUGCAGAGAGAAAGGUUGACUUGGACCUGAACAGCUGCACUGUGUCAGACCAAGGACUAAGGCUGAUACUGGGCUCUCUGAAGAAUGUCCGAUAUCUCAGAUCUGACCCCUCAAUGCUGUGUCAACUCUGGACAACUUUGCUGAGCGGUGAGGCAGACAUUGACUUCACCAGCUUGCUUGGUCUCUGUGGAAAUGAGUUGCGCCUUCCAUUCCUGGGUGAAAGACGAGUGUUUGAGAGAGCAGAAGAAGUGAUGAAGCAGAGCCUGGAGAGGGUUAACCUCUGUCUACACUGGGAUCGGACAACUCUUCUCAGUGAAGCUCUCAGCAAGACCAUUUUAAAGUGUUUAACACAUAUCAACAAACUCAGUUUUAACCCACUACAUAAUCAGAGAGGAUCCCCUGAAAAACUAGAGAAAGAACAGAAAGCAGUCCUACUAAAUUUGUGUCUACAAGCCGCACUUUAUCACAGAGAAACGUUCCAGGGAGCUGUGAACACACUGCUGUCACUCUUCUCUGUGUAUCAAACUGAGAGAUAUGACAUCCUGCUGGAUCUGUACUCACAUGUGAAGGACUAUGAGACUCAAACAGGCAGGAGUGUCCUUCCAUCAUUGAGGCCACUUUAUCAGUCAGCUCCUGCAGUCUGGUCCAUAGACCUCUCAGAGAGAAAAGCCUCCCUCCUCCUAGAAGUGCUGAAACUCGAACCAGAUAAAAAAUCUGUCGAGCUGAAAGGCUGGUCAGACAAAGAGAGUGAAGUGAGGAGUUUCCUUCAGUGUCUGCCCUACAUCUCACAGCUGAGUUUCUAUCCAUGGUGGUCUGACAACUCAAAGCUGAUCAAGUUCCUGGUGGGUCUCCUGUCUCAAGCAGCAGAGUGGGAGGAGCAGUCAGGAGAGAAGACACUGAAGCUGCUAUCAUCAGUGUUUACUUACAGCACUUUCCCUCUCUAUGACUGGGAUGAUUAUCAUAAGUGGUUUCAAUGUGAUUUCCUGCUGGAUCUGUGCUCACAUGUGAAGGACUAUGAGACUCAAACAGGCAGAAGUGUCCUUCCAGUAUUACAGCCAGUUUACCAGUCAGCUCCUGCGGUCUGGUACAUAGACCUCUCAGAGAGAAAGGCCUCCCUCCUCCUAGACGUGCUGAAACUCCAACCAGAGAAGAAACCAGUAGAGCUGAUGAAGUGGUCAGAUGAAGAGAGUGAAGUGAGGAGUUUCCUUCAGUGUCUGCCCUACAUCUCACAGCUGAGUUUUACUUCACCACAGGAUCAGAGUAGAUCCCAUGAAGAGUGGAGAAAGAGAGAGAAGACAUUCCUACUGAAUCUGUGUCUUCAAGCAGCCCUCCAUGAGAGAGGAACCAUACAAACAACUGUAGAGAAAGUGUUGUCACUGUCUGAAGUUUAUCACGAUCGGAAAUGGGAUCUCCUGCUGGAUCUGUACUCACAUGUGAAGGACUAUGAGACUGAAACAGGCAGGAGUGUCCUUCCAGCAUUACAGCCAGUUUACCAGUCAGCUCCUGCAGUCUGGUCCAUAGACCUCUCAGAGAGAAAGGCCUCCCUCCUCCUGGAAGUGCUGAAACUCCAACCAGAGAAGAAACCAGUAGAGCUGGAAGGCUUGUCAGAUGAAGAGAGUGAAGUGAGGAGUUUCCUUCAGUGUCUGCCUUACAUCUCACAGCUGAGGCUGAAUGUGGGCAUGGCAGUGAGACUGGCCAGACUGGCUAGGAGGACAGGGAGAGGGGGUACUCCACUGACUGUCCCAGAACUCUCCCUGGUCCUAAAGAGCAGCCAGCCACCAGAGAGAGUGUUAUCCAGAGCUCUGAGUAGUGUGGCGUCCCUGCUGAGAUUCUGGAGGGUUCAGUGUCUGGACCUGACUGACUUCUGCAUCCAGGGUCACUCUCUCAUCACACUGCUGUGUCACCAGGACCCUCACACUCUCAGACUGAACUCAGACACUCUGCAGCAGCUGGCUGUGGCUGUGUAUGAAGCUCAGGACAAGGACUUGACUCAGUGGUUCCUGGAGAAGGUUGGUGGAGACCUGACCUCCUGCAGGCUGGACUGGGACGUGCUUCUCUCUCUGCUGCAGCAUUCAACCCACAACAUCACAGUGGACCUCAGGAAGAACAGGCUUCUAGAGAAGAACAUCUCAGAUCUUCUCCCCUUUCUGGGAAGGGUUAUAUUCAAGAGGCUCAGUUCCAGCUUUGUGAAGUCCACCAUCAGACAGAUCUAUGACAGUAGAGACAGUGACUGUGUGUCCAGUUUGUUGAGGUCUUCAGACCAUUGGAUCAACCUGAACAGCAGAGAGCUGGACAGAGUGGACUGUACUGCUCUGUGUUUCACCCUGCAGCACAGCCACCAAGUCAAAGUCAACCUGCUGUGGACCUCCAUACCACCGGGGGAGAUAGAGAGCAUCCUGCCUCUUCUGGACAGAGUCUCCCAACUCAGUGUUGACAGGAAGCUGUUGCUGAGUUUCCUCCACUCCUGCGCUGCCUCUCAGAUCCUACAGGGGGCACUAUCACCACCACCAACAAUAACAACAACAGCAGCAGAGCUGCUCAGGGCUCUGCAGCACAGGUUGGACUUCUCCUGCUCCUCCUCUGUGGACCUGUCAGCUCACGACCAGGGGGAGGCGCUGUGUCUGACCACUGACCACUGUAGGGCCAUAAACUCUGUUCUGAAGCAGAGCCAACACAGCACACGGCUGGUUCAGAACCCGACCCGGAACCAGUCCCGAAACCAGCCCCAGGUGCAACUCAUCCUUAAAGACUGUGAGGUGGAGCAUGGAGCACUGAGAGAGCUGCUUCCCAUCUUGCAUAUUGUCAAGCUGAGGUUAGACACACAAGGACAAACUAGUUUAUAAAAGUAGGAGUUAGAGCUGUCUCAUAAUGUUAUCUCUGGUUAUUGUCCCCUCAGCCCCAGCAAAGCUCUGCUACUUCAGCUGCUGGACCAUGUGUGUGAGGGGAUUGAAGAGGGGGUUCUGAAGCACGCAGAGUCCCUGUGCAGAGCCCUGGAUGGGGAGCUGGACCUCAGUAAGACCAGGCUGAACCAGAAGGCCUGUGGAUCUCUGGCCCUGGUUCUGGAACACUCAGAGGGGCUGUCAGAACUGUACCUCAACCACUGCCAACUCACAGACCACCACCUACAGCCCCUGCUCACACACCUGCACAAAGUUGAAGUCCUGGACCUGAGUCACAAUGACAUCACUGAUGCUCUGACCGACAGAAUACUCCAAUUGGUCUCUACCAACACUUCAAUACGCACCGUACGGCUCUUCAACAACAGAAUCAACGACAGAAGUCCGUUCCUGACAGACAAGAGGUUUGAGAUCUGGUGAAGCAGCAUCAGGUCCAAGUCCAGACAGAGGAAGAGAAGAUGGAUGUUGAAGAAGAGAAGAUGGAUGUUGAAGAAGAGAAGAUGGAUGUUGAAGAUGGGUGUAGUAGCUACGAAGCCUCGGCAGGGUGAGACUAGAGGGACUUUUCUGACCAGCAUCCCAUCAACCUUGACCCUAACUGUAACCUGAUUUUAACCAAUUCUUAAAUAUUGAUUUGCAUGUCAGCCACAUCCCCUUAGUUUUUAGCUGACCUCAUCAUGGUGUCAGACGAACGGCAAGUGAUUAUGGGGCUAAGGUAUUGUAAAAAUAGUUGAGACUCCAGAACUCUGGAAUGUUCUGAGUGUAAUGGAUAGGAAUGUGUAGUUCUAUUUACCUCUUACAUGGUUCUUAAACACACAGGAACAUGUGUAGUAUAACGUUUUUUGAGCUUUACUUAACUUGAUGAUUUUUGUGAUCAGUCAAUUUGUGAAAUUCCAUCAGAAGGAAUAGAUUGUAUAUGCAUUUCUAUAGUCUAGUAUUUAUCAGGUGGAUGGGAAUGUGUUCUACAGUUGCAAUGGGAGCCUUAAUACAUGAGUGUUUUGUUGCAGGUCAACUGCAUGGUAUUGUGUUACUCAGGCUAGCCUUGUUGUGGACCAAGCUUCCCUAUUCAGGAAGCCAGAGGUGUGUUGAGUUCGCUUGAACGUUUGCUACGUUGUGCAACGGUUUGUACUGAAUGACACGUUUCCCCAAAAUGUUUUUGAACAGACUUCGAGGUACAUUUGGUGGGUGUGGCGAGGUGUGGCUUGAAGCAAUGAGUGACAUAUUUUUAUUUUUAAAGGGCAGUGGCCAUGCUGACAGCAUUCUCCAACCCACAACCCAACCCUUCCCCAUUUUUCAACUGGUUGUUCAGUACAUCACCGUUUCCGUACAAUUGAACCGUUUCAGAAUGUAAAAACAUACUGAUCGCAGCCCUGGUGAAGUCCAUGGUAGAAAGUAACUACAAGUGUGGUGGAAACCAUUGAAGCCUCGCAACACGUCAAACCAAUCAAUUGCCUUGCUUUGGCCGAGCACUAAAGGUGCCCACUAGUGCCGUAGGAGCAACAGUGUGAGUGGAUGCCCAGGAAGUUGCUGAUGUAUAACAUAGCCUUUAUGUACACAUACCAUAACAAAAUGUAUUUAGUAGAGCAGUUGUAAUACCUUCAUCGACUUGUGAAGAACAUUACACGCAGCUUCCCUUUUAGGGGCAUGUGGGGGAGGUUUCUUGAAAUAUAACAUCCAAUCAAAAUGUAGCCGCUGGAACCUAGCAGACCAUUCUAACUGUUUUGGCUAAUACAAAAUUCUCCAGACCUCCAAAGGAGGCAUGACAACAAUGUGAUUUUGGAGGUAUGGCUACAUGAGACUAGUACAAGCCUUUCUCAUAUCAAAACAGACAAACUAUAAGAAAUAAUAUAUGAAUAUUUUGUGUUUUUAAUAAAUGUACCUUGAGGCCCAUGAUUGGUUUUUGACUGUGGUCUCUUCAGGUUGAAAUCAUUACUAGUAAAUCCUAAAUAAUCUGUUUCAAGUUAAUGCUGGUAUUAAAGCG